RNAcentral lists this ribosomal RNA (207 nucleotides) under uncultured bacterium. Its description in RNAcentral is "partial 16S ribosomal RNA". It matches the Rfam family "Bacterial small subunit ribosomal RNA", at positions 568 to 774 of the family's 1533-position model. The record is from RNAcentral.
CACGCAGGCGGUUUGUUAAGUCAGAUGUGAAAUCCCCGGGCUCAACCUGGGAACUGCAUCUGAUACUGGCAAGCUUGAGUCUCGUAGAGGGGGGUAGAAUUCCAGGUGUAGCGGUGAAAUGCGUAGGGAUGUGGAGGAAUACCGAAGGCGAAGGCAGCCCCUUGGGAAUGUACUGACGCUCAUGUGCGAAAGCGUGGGGAGCAAACA